UACGGAGGGUCCAAGCGUUGUCCGGAAUUAUUGGGUUUAAAGGGUGCGUAGGCGGCCAAUUAAGUCGAAGUUGAAAUCUAACUGCUCAACAGUUAAACUGGCUUCGAUACUGGUUGGCUUGAGUACACUAGAGGUAGGCGGAAUUGAAGGUGUAGCGGUGAAAUGCAUAGAUAUCUUCAAGAACACCAAUUGCGUAGGCAGCUUACUGGAGUGUAACUGACGCUGAGGCACGAAAGCGUGGGGAGCGAACAGG
This 253-nucleotide ribosomal RNA is filed under the name uncultured bacterium. RNAcentral describes it as "partial 16S ribosomal RNA". It matches the Rfam family "Bacterial small subunit ribosomal RNA", at positions 524 to 776 of the family's 1533-position model. The record is from RNAcentral.